CCUACGGGAGGCAGCAGUGGGGAAUAUUGGGCAAUGGGCGCAAGCCUGACCCAGCAACGCCGCGUGAAGGAAGAAGGCUUUCGGGUUGUAAACUUCUUUUCUCAGGGACGAAGAAAGUGACGGUACCUGAGGAAUAAGCCACGGCUAACUACGUGCCAGCAGCCGCGGUAAUACGUAGGUGGCAAGCGUUAUCCGGAUGUAUUGGGUGUAAAGGGCGUGUAGGCGGGAGCGCAAGUCAGAUGUGAAAACUCAGGGCUCAACCCUGAGCCUGCAUUUGAAACUGUGUUUCUUGAGUGCUGGGGAGGCAAUCGGAAUUCCGUGUGUAGCGGUGAAAUGCGUAGAUAUACGGAGGAACACCAGUGGCGAAGGCGGAUUGCUGGACAGUAACUGACGCUGAGGCGCGAAAGCGUGGGGAGCAAACAGGAUUAGAUACCCUUGUAGUC
Molecule: ribosomal RNA, 443 nt
Filed under: uncultured bacterium
Lineage: Bacteria
Description: partial 16S ribosomal RNA
Rfam family: Bacterial small subunit ribosomal RNA
Source: RNAcentral